CCUACGGGAGGCAGCAGUGGGGAAUAUUGGGCAAUGGGCGCAAGCCUGACCCAGCAACGCCGCGUGAAGGAAGAAGGCUUUCGGGUUGUAAACUUCUUUUGUUAGGGAAGAGUAGAAGACGGUACCUGACGAAUAAGCCACGGCUAACUACGUGCCAGCAGCCGCGGUAAUACGUAGGUGGCAAGCGUUGUCCGGAUUUACUGGGUGUAAAGGGCGUGUAGCCGGGUUGACAAGUCAGAUGUGAAAUCCUGCGGCUUAACCGCAGAACUGCAUUUGAAACUGUCGAUCUUGAGUACUGGAGAGGCAGGCGGAAUUCCUGGUGUAGCGGUGAAAUGCGUAGAUAUUAGGAGGAACACCAGUGGCGAAGGCGGUCUGCUGGACAGCAACUGACGGUGAGGCGCGAAAGCGUGGGGAGCAAACAGGAUUAGAUACCCGAGUAGUC
Molecule: ribosomal RNA, 442 nt
Filed under: uncultured bacterium
Lineage: Bacteria
Description: partial 16S ribosomal RNA
Rfam family: Bacterial small subunit ribosomal RNA
Source: RNAcentral